CCCGAGCCCUAUUCUUUCCCUCGCCGAAAACCUGCUUUCCCUUCUUCUAUACCGCGAUUUCUCCUCAACUCCAUCCGCCGAACCUUUUUCUUCUUCUUCAUCGAGCUCGCGCCACCGAGCCCUCCCUCCUUCCUCUGCUCAUCAUCACCGCCGGCCCGAAGCUUCUCUCCUCCUUCCCAAUCCAGCCGAGGCCCUGCUCCCCGACUCAUCGCCGGCGCCAAAUGUCGGCUGGUCUCGUGCCCUAGCCGUCCCUCUUCCCUGCUCCGACGCCAACAAGCUGCAAGCCCCAGCUCGCCGUGCCCUAGGAUCUGAAUUUCCCCACUACUGCCCCUUCCCGAUCUCCUCUUCUCUCCCGGGCCGCACACCGCCGCCCAAUGCCACCACCCUCUCCGAUCACCGUCCAGCGCCGGCGCCCUAGCUUGAAGCCGAGCACCCCAGGUCCAUUGUUCUAUGCCCUAGCUAUUGGCCAAUCCUCUCUUCCUUGCCAACUCCGAUCGUCGUUUGCCUAGUUUCCAUUGGGGAGAAAACUGGUAGCAACGAGAUCUGGCAGUGGCUUUUGGGAGGCGUCGACCAUAGAUCUCUGGCACCAACCUAUUGCUGUUGCUUACUGUUGGAGAAGAAGAGAAUUGGGCUACUUAGCUUGUUUCGGCAGCCAACAUCUUCGACUUUGGAUCAACAGUAAUACAUCCAAAUUUAGAUGAGUUUUAGAGGUGAUUGCAUUAGUUGUAAUGGAUUGUACAAGUUGAUUAGUUUGUAUUAUAUUGAUUAUGUAUAGAUCUUAAUCUAAUUGAGUAGUGGAACGAUUAGGGUUUAGGAAACUAACCCUAGUUAACCUGUGGAUUAAAUAUAGUUAGGGUUAAUGUCUACGAUUGAUUAGGGUUUUCCCUAAUUUAGGUUUGAGUAUUUUAUUUAGCUGUUUAAUUCAUAUGAAUUUUGCUAAAUAAAAUAUAUAUGUAUUGAUUGAUGUAGGACUCUGAUUCGAGACGAGCGUCUCGACGUUGGAUUGCUUGAUACGAUCUUCUUUUUGAGGCGGAUAUUUCUUGACUUAUCUUUUAUGAUAUUGCCACUUUGAUAUGCAUAGUAAUUUAUAGCUAGUAGCAAUGAUCUUGCUUAGAUUUGCCCUUGGUAUGCCGUUAUUUGAUACCUAUAGCAUGUUCUGUUAGUUGCCUGUUAUGUAUCCAUGUUUAUAUCUCUUGAUUAUUGUCAUAUGUACCUUAGUUCCUAGAGUAAGUGACAUACUAGGCUUCACUGAGUAUAGGACUAGUUUUUUGGAUUUUAUUAUCUGGCAAGUGUACUUAGACCUGUGAUACCUAGGUCAUGGUAUGAUCUAUUUUUCUAUUUGCUACAUAUUAUGUGAAGGUGAUUAUGGUUAAGAUUUACAUGCUUAGUGUCAUGCACCAUUUGCAUGAUUACAUGCUGUGCGAUUGUCGACUCCAUUAUUAUUGAGCACAUCGCCAGUUACAUGACCUACGCACACAACCACUCAUGGGUUAGUGGGUAUUUCAGGCAGGGUGUGUGGUGCAGUUUGCUCUAUCAGGGCUCCGUUGGUCUGCUCAUGGGUAGUGAUGACUGCAGAGUGUAACAGGCAGGGAUCCUUCCUCGGGACUGACUUAGGGAGAUGAGAGCAUUGAGCUCCCCCACUCUAUUUGGGGUAGGAGGAUAGGUGUACUCCGACAGCAUCCUAUCCACUCGGUAACUCAGGAGCAGUGAUGAAAGAGUGCACAGUUGUCAUAACCCUACCCACUCGGUCUCACCAUCGCGUGUGAGAUGGCUGACUGGCGUCAGAGGUGACACAUGUCAUUUUUGCAUCAUAUGCAUUGAUUGCAUUUAUGGUUUGUGAUUGUUGUAUUUUGGUGGUUGCAUAUGAUUGACAUACAUACAGGAGACAUUAUAUAUUUGGUCUGAAGACCCUUACAUCUGGAUAGGAGGUCCUGGUAAGUACAGUUCUUCUGUUAUCUUUUCAGUUUGCAUUUCUUAUUAUUGAUCAGAAAAUUGUAUUCCAUGAUUAUUUCUGUUAGUUAUAUCUUACUAGGCAUGUCAGCUUGAUAUUCGCUGAGUUCUUUGAACUCAUGUCGUUGAACUAUUUCUUUUUCAGAUAGAAGGUAGAUUUGUGGAGUCGCUUGGAGUAUCCUGUCUGUCAGUUCUCACGUCACAUUCGAAAAUCUGUUUCUGGUUUUCAUUUGUACUUUAUUUGGUCUACGUUUUGGUUUACUUAGCAAUGUAGAAUUUUGAUUUUGGUUCCGGAGUGUUGUGUCGUGAUGUGGUGUUUUGUAUUGUUUGUUGUGUUGUGUAAGUCUAGCUGGCUAGCAGUCAUUCAUUUAGUUUGUAAUGGUUUUCUCUUGUAUUUUCCGCUGUGUUCUUCUUUUAGUACAACCAAGUGGGUUGUUAGAUAUAUAUAUAAUUGUGUGGUUGUAUUUUUUGUCGUUA
Molecule: long non-coding RNA, 2427 nt
Organism: Zingiber officinale
Lineage: Eukaryota; Viridiplantae; Streptophyta; Magnoliopsida; Zingiberales; Zingiberaceae
Exons: 2
Source: RefSeq, a predicted model, not a curated record